RNAcentral lists this ribosomal RNA (253 nucleotides) under uncultured bacterium. Its description in RNAcentral is "partial 16S ribosomal RNA". It matches the Rfam family "Bacterial small subunit ribosomal RNA", at positions 524 to 776 of the family's 1533-position model. The record is from RNAcentral.
UACGAAGGGGGCUAGCGUUGUUCGGAAUUACUGGGCGUAAAGCGUGCGCAGGCGGUUUUGUAAGCCAGGUGUGAAAUCCCCGGGCUCAACCUGGGAAUGGCAUUUGGGACUGCAAGGCUGGAGUGCGGCAGAGGAGACUGGAAUUCCUGGUGUAGCAGUGAAAUGCGUAGAUAUCAGGAGGAACACCGAUGGCGAAGGCAGGUCUCUGGGCUGACACUGACGCUCAUGCACGAAAGCGUGGGGAGCAAACAGG